UCUCUCUCUAGAGCAGUGGUAAGAACCAUUUUUCUGCCCAAGGGCCUUUUAGAUAUUUAUAACAUCAUUCGCAGGCCAUACAAAAUUAUCAACUUAAAAAUCAGCCUGAUAUAUUUGGUCAAACAUUUAAUUAACUCACCCCUAAUGCGUUGGCAGGGUCAGACCAAAUUAUUUAAUGGGCCUUAUAUGGCUCACAGGCCAGACACUUCCCACC
Molecule: long non-coding RNA, 214 nt
Organism: Pipistrellus kuhlii (Kuhl's pipistrelle)
Lineage: Eukaryota; Metazoa; Chordata; Mammalia; Chiroptera; Vespertilionidae
Exons: 3
Source: RefSeq, a predicted model, not a curated record